CGAACGGGUGAGUAACGCGUGAGGAACCUGCCUCAAAGAGGGGGACAACAGUUGGAAACGGCUGCUAAUACCGCGUAAGCCCACGGCUCGGCAUCGAGCAGAGGGAAAAGGAGCAAUCCGCUUUGAGAUGGCCUCGCGUCCGAUUAGCUAGUUGGUGAGGUAAUGGCCCACCAAGGCAACGAUCGGUAGCCGGACUGAGAGGUUGAACGGCCACAUUGGGACUGAGACACGGCCCAA
RNAcentral lists this ribosomal RNA (237 nucleotides) under uncultured bacterium. RNAcentral describes it as "partial 16S ribosomal RNA". It matches the Rfam family "Bacterial small subunit ribosomal RNA", at positions 99 to 334 of the family's 1533-position model. The record is from RNAcentral.